UACAGAGGUCCCAAGCGUUGUUCGGAUUCACUGGGCGUAAAGGGUGCGUAGGUGGCCGGGAAAGUUCGGUGUGAAAGCUCGGAGCUCAACUCCGAAAUGGCAUUGAAUACUAUCCGGCUUGAGGUUCGGAGGGGAGACUGGAAUUCUCGGUGUAGCAGUGAAAUGCGUAGAUAUCGAGAGGAACACCGGUGGCGAAGGCGAGUCUCUGGACGAAUCCUGACACUGAGGCACGAAAGCUAGGGGAGCAAACAGGAUUAGAAACCCCCGUAGUCC
RNAcentral lists this ribosomal RNA (273 nucleotides) under uncultured bacterium. Its description in RNAcentral is "partial 16S ribosomal RNA". It matches the Rfam family "Bacterial small subunit ribosomal RNA", at positions 524 to 796 of the family's 1533-position model. The record is from RNAcentral.